RNAcentral lists this ribosomal RNA (501 nucleotides) under uncultured bacterium. RNAcentral's name for it is "bacterial SSU rRNA". It matches the Rfam family "Bacterial small subunit ribosomal RNA", at positions 29 to 524 of the family's 1533-position model. The record is from RNAcentral.
AAUGAACGCUGGCGGCGCGCCUAAUACAUGCAAGUCGAGCGAGAAGACGUAGCAAUACGUUUGUAAAGCGGCGAACGGGUGAGGAAUACAUGGGUAACCUACCCUCGAGUGGGGAAUAACUAGCCGAAAGGUUAGCUAAUACCGCGUACGCUCCUUGGACUUCGGUUCAGGGAGGAAAGCGAUACCGUGGGUAUCGCGCUCUUGGUUGGGCUCAUGUCCUAUCAGCUUGUUGGUGAGGAACGGCUCACCAAGGCUUCGACGGGUAGCUGGUCUGAGAGGACGAUCAGCCACACUGGCACUGCGACACGGGCCAGACUCCUACGGGAGGCAGCAGUAAGGAAUAUUGCGCAAUGGGCGAAAGCCUGACGCAGCGACGCCGCGUGGGGGAUGAAGGUCUUCGGAUUGUAAACCCCUUUCGGGAGGGAAGAUGGAACGAGCAAUCGUUCGGACGGUACCUCCAGAAGCAGCCACGGCUAACUUCGUGCCAGCAGCCGCGGUAAU